GCCCCUGUAGCUCAAAUAGAUAGAGCCACCGCUAGCUACGUGUGAGAUGCGGGUGCAAGACCCGCCAGGGGCA
Molecule: transfer RNA, 73 nt
Filed under: Candidatus Eiseniibacteriota bacterium
Lineage: Bacteria; Candidatus Eiseniibacteriota
Also listed under: 1 other name
Description: Candidatus Eisenbacteria bacterium tRNA-Ala
Source: RNAcentral